This 257-nucleotide unclassified non-coding RNA is filed under the name Hevea brasiliensis (rubber tree). The record is from RNAcentral. Lineage: Eukaryota; Viridiplantae; Streptophyta; Magnoliopsida; Malpighiales; Euphorbiaceae.
AAUUUCUUCAUUGCUGUUUUAACCAUAAUCCUAGUAUCCAAAAUUUCUUCCAACAAGCGAGGUAAUACCCCCUUCUGGACCCUGGGAGGCAUAUACAUAACACCAUUUGGAGUGAGCAAUAUUUCGUCCUUUAAAUUAUGCAUCACAUUUGUAUCAGGUGAAUAUGAACUAACCCCGAGGAUAUUAGCAUUCGUAGAAGUAACUUUACCAAGGCAAGUACAGAAACAGAGGUUAUAUGCAAUUAUCAUUGAUGGAUA